RNAcentral lists this RNase P RNA (416 nucleotides) under Erythrobacteraceae bacterium. RNAcentral describes it as "RNase P RNA component class A". It matches the Rfam family "Bacterial RNase P class A". Rfam says of the family: Ribonuclease P (RNase P) is a ubiquitous endoribonuclease, found in archaea, bacteria and eukarya as well as chloroplasts and mitochondria. Lineage: Bacteria; Pseudomonadati; Pseudomonadota; Alphaproteobacteria; Sphingomonadales; Erythrobacteraceae. The record is from RNAcentral.
CAGGGGGCUGAGGCAGCCGCGCAGCUUUGGCUGCGAGGAAAGUCCGGGCUCCACGAAACAUGGGUGGCGGGUAACGCCCGCCGGGCAAGGGCCUUCGGGCCUGCGUUCAGGGAAAGUGCCACAGAGAGUAUACCGCCGAUGGACCCAGAAGGUCACAGGCAAGGGUGAAAGGGUGCGGCAAGAGCGCACCGGGGUUCUGGCAACAGCGCCCGCAUGGCAAACCCCACCCGGAGCAAGGCCAAAUAGGGGCCUCGUGCGUCCUUCGGGAAGCAGGCGUGUUUCGCGCCGAGAGGUCCGGGUUGGCUGCUAGAGCGGCUUGGCAACAAGUCGCCCAGAUGAAUGGCUGCCACCGCAGCGCUGGUGCCUUGAGCAUACCGGUUGCGGGACAGAACCCGGCUUAUGAGGCCCCCUGAUAC